Molecule: ribosomal RNA, 394 nt
Filed under: uncultured bacterium
Lineage: Bacteria
Description: bacterial SSU rRNA
Rfam family: Bacterial small subunit ribosomal RNA
Source: RNAcentral
UAGCGGAGCGUGUGGUUUAAUUCGACGCAACGCGAAGCACCUCACCCAGGCUUGACAUGUAGCCGCAAGCGCACGGAAACGUGUGACCUUCGAGGGUGCUACACAGGUGCUGCAUGGCUGUCGUCAGCUCGUGUCGUGAGAUGUUGGGUUAAGUCCCGCAACGAGCGCAACCCUUGCUAUCAGUUACUCGUGUCUGACAGGACUGCCCGAUGGGAGGAAGGCGGGGAUGACGUCAAGUCAGCAUGGCCCUUACGCCUGGGGCUACACACACGCUACAAUGGCCGGUACAAUGCGUUGCCUACCCGCAAGGAGAAGCUAAUCGCCAAAACCGGUCUCAGUGCAGAUCGGGGGCUGCAACUCGCCCCCGUGAAGGCGGAGUUGCUAGUAACCGCGA